RNAcentral lists this ribosomal RNA (403 nucleotides) under uncultured bacterium. RNAcentral's name for it is "bacterial SSU rRNA". It matches the Rfam family "Bacterial small subunit ribosomal RNA", at positions 30 to 418 of the family's 1533-position model. The record is from RNAcentral.
AGUGAACGCUGGCGGCAGGCCUAACACAUGCAAGUCGAGCGGCAGCGCGUCCGACCACCCUCGGGUGGUCGGAUGGCGGCGAGCGGCGGACGGGUGAGGAAUGCAUCGGAAUCUGCCUCGUUGUGGGGGAUAACGUAGGGAAACUUACGCUAAUACCGCAUACGACCUACGGGUGAAAGUGGGGGACCUUCGGGCCUCACGCGAUGAGAUGAGCCGAUGCCGGAUUAGCUAGUUGGCGGGGUAAAGGCCCACCAAGGCGACGAUCCGUAGCUGGUCUGAGAGGAUGAUCAGCCACACUGGAACUGAGACACGGUCCAGACUCCUACGGGAGGCAGCAGUGGGGAAUAUUGGACAAUGGGGGCGAACCCUGAUCCAGCCAUGCCGCGUGUGUGAAGAAGGCCUC